UACGUAGGGAGCAAGCGUUGUUCGGAUUUACUGGGCGUAAAGGGCGCGUAGGCGGCGCGGUAAGUCACUUGUGAAAUCUCUGAGCUUAACUCAGAACGGCCAAGUGAUACUGCAGUGCUAGAGUGCAGGAGGGGCAAUCGGAAUUCUUGGUGUAGCGGUGAAAUGCGUAGAUAUCAAGAGGAACACCUGAGGUGAAGACGGGUUGCUAGGCUGACACUGACGCUGAGGCGCGAAAGCCAGGGGAGCAAACGGG
RNAcentral lists this ribosomal RNA (253 nucleotides) under uncultured bacterium. RNAcentral describes it as "partial 16S ribosomal RNA". It matches the Rfam family "Bacterial small subunit ribosomal RNA", at positions 524 to 776 of the family's 1533-position model. The record is from RNAcentral.